GGGUUGUGAGGUUAAGCGACUAAGCGUACACGGUGGAUGCCCUGGCAGUCAGAGGCGAUGAAGGACGUGCUAAUCUGCGAUAAGCGUCGGUAAGGUGAUAUGAACCGUUAUAACCGGCGAUUUCCGAAUGGGGAAACCCAGUGUGAUUCGUCACACUAUCAUUAACUGAAUCCAUAGGUUAAUGAGGCGAACCGGGGGAACUGAAACAUCUAAGUACCCCGAGGAAAAGAAAUCAACCGAGAUUCCCCCAGUAGCGGCGAGCGAACGGGGAGCAGCCCAGAGCCUGAAUCAGUGUGUGUGUUAGUGGAAGCGUCUGGAAAGGCGCGCGAUACAGGGUGACAGCCCCGUACACAAAAAUGCACAUGCUGUGAGCUCGAUGAGUAGGGCGGGACACGUGGUAUCCUGUCUGAAUAUGGGGGGACCAUCCUCCAAGGCUAAAUACUCCUGACUGACCGAUAGUGAACCAGUACCGUGAGGGAAAGGCGAAAAGAACCCCGGCGAGGGGAGUGAAAAAGAACCUGAAACCGUGUACGUACAAGCAGUGGGAGCACGCUUAGGCGUGUGACUGCGUACCUUUUGUAUAAUGGGUCAGCGACUUAUAUUCUGUAGCAAGGUUAACCGAAUAGGGGAGCCGAAGGGAAACCGAGUCUUAACUGGGCGUUAAGUUGCAGGGUAUAGACCCGAAACCCGGUGAUCUAGCCAUGGGCAGGUUGAAGGUUGGGUAACACUAACUGGAGGACCGAACCGACUAAUGUUGAAAAAUUAGCGGAUGACUUGUGGCUGGGGGUGAAAGGCCAAUCAAACCGGGAGAUAGCUGGUUCUCCCCGAAAGCUAUUUAGGUAGCGCCUCGUGAAUUCAUCUCCGGGGGUAGAGCACUGUUUCGGCAAGGGGGUCAUCCCGACUUACCAACCCGAUGCAAACUGCGAAUACCGGAGAAUGUUAUCACGGGAGACACACGGCGGGUGCUAACGUCCGUCGUGAAGAGGGAAACAACCCAGACCGCCAGCUAAGGUCCCAAAGUCAUGGUUAAGUGGGAAACGAUGUGGGAAGGCCCAGACAGCCAGGAUGUUGGCUUAGAAGCAGCCAUCAUUUAAAGAAAGCGUAAUAGCUCACUGGUCGAGUCGGCCUGCGCGGAAGAUGUAACGGGGCUAAACCAUGCACCGAAGCUGCGGCAGCGACGCUUAUGCGUUGUUGGGUAGGGGAGCGUUCUGUAAGCCUGUGAAGGUGUGCUGUGAGGCAUGCUGGAGGUAUCAGAAGUGCGAAUGCUGACAUAAGUAACGAUAAAGCGGGUGAAAAGCCCGCUCGCCGGAAGACCAAGGGUUCCUGUCCAACGUUAAUCGGGGCAGGGUGAGUCGACCCCUAAGGCGAGGCCGAAAGGCGUAGUCGAUGGGAAACAGGUUAAUAUUCCUGUACUUGGUGUUACUGCGAAGGGGGGACGGAGAAGGCUAUGUUGGCCGGGCGACGGUUGUCCCGGUUUAAGCGUGUAGGCUGGUUUUCCAGGCAAAUCCGGAAAAUCAAGGCUGAGGCGUGAUGACGAGGCACUACGGUGCUGAAGCAACAAAUGCCCUGCUUCCAGGAAAAGCCUCUAAGCAUCAGGUAACAUCAAAUCGUACCCCAAACCGACACAGGUGGUCAGGUAGAGAAUACCAAGGCGCUUGAGAGAACUCGGGUGAAGGAACUAGGCAAAAUGGUGCCGUAACUUCGGGAGAAGGCACGCUGAUAUGUAGGUGAAGUCCCUUGCGGAUGGAGCUGAAAUCAGUCGAAGAUACCAGCUGGCUGCAACUGUUUAUUAAAAACACAGCACUGUGCAAACACGAAAGUGGACGUAUACGGUGUGACGCCUGCCCGGUGCCGGAAGGUUAAUUGAUGGGGUUAGCGCAAGCGAAGCUCUUGAUCGAAGCCCCGGUAAACGGCGGCCGUAACUAUAACGGUCCUAAGGUAGCGAAAUUCCUUGUCGGGUAAGUUCCGACCUGCACGAAUGGCGUAAUGAUGGCCAGGCUGUCUCCACCCGAGACUCAGUGAAAUUGAACUCGCUGUGAAGAUGCAGUGUACCCGCGGCAAGACGGAAAGACCCCGUGAACCUUUACUAUAGCUUGACACUGAACAUUGAGCCUUGAUGUGUAGGAUAGGUGGGAGGCUUGGAAGUGUGGACGCCAGUCUGCAUGGAGCCGACCUUGAAAUACCACCCUUUAAUGUUUGAUGUUCUAACGUUGACCCGUAAUCCGGGUUGCGGACAGUGUCUGGUGGGUAGUUUGACUGGGGCGGUCUCCUCCUAAAGAGUAACGGAGGAGCACGAAGGUUGGCUAAUCCUGGUCGGACAUCAGGAGGUUAGUGCAAUGGCAUAAGCCAGCUUGACUGCGAGCGUGACGGCGCGAGCAGGUGCGAAAGCAGGUCAUAGUGAUCCGGUGGUUCUGAAUGGAAGGGCCAUCGCUCAACGGAUAAAAGGUACUCCGGGGAUAACAGGCUGAUACCGCCCAAGAGUUCAUAUCGACGGCGGUGUUUGGCACCUCGAUGUCGGCUCAUCACAUCCUGGGGCUGAAGUAGGUCCCAAGGGUAUGGCUGUUCGCCAUUUAAAGUGGUACGCGAGCUGGGUUUAGAACGUCGUGAGACAGUUCGGUCCCUAUCUGCCGUGGGCGCUGGAGAACUGAGGGGGGCUGCUCCUAGUACGAGAGGACCGGAGUGGACGCAUCACUGGUGUUCGGGUUGUCAUGCCAAUGGCACUGCCCGGUAGCUAAAUGCGGAAGAGAUAAGUGCUGAAAGCAUCUAAGCACGAAACUUGCCCCGAGAUGAGUUCUCCCUGACCCUUUAAGGGUCCUGAAGGAACGUUGAAGACGACGACGUUGAUAGGCCGGGUGUGUAAGCGCAGCGAUGCGUUGAGCUAACCGGUACUAAUGAACCGUGAGGCUUAACCUUACAACGCCGAAGGUGUUU
RNAcentral lists this ribosomal RNA (2931 nucleotides) under Escherichia coli. RNAcentral's name for it is "23S ribosomal RNA". It matches the Rfam family "Bacterial large subunit ribosomal RNA". The record is from RNAcentral. Lineage: Bacteria; Pseudomonadati; Pseudomonadota; Gammaproteobacteria; Enterobacterales; Enterobacteriaceae.